Molecule: long non-coding RNA, 2241 nt
Organism: Neofelis nebulosa (Clouded leopard)
Lineage: Eukaryota; Metazoa; Chordata; Mammalia; Carnivora; Felidae
Exons: 2
Source: RefSeq, a predicted model, not a curated record
GCUGGACUGCGUCUCCCAUCCGUGAACAGGGACUGUGACUUCAUCUCAUUCCUCUCAAAGGUGUUUUAGAAUUUUGAGCCCAGCGUGAUCAGAACACUUUGGGUUUAUGCCUAGGUAUUUGGUAUUUUGAGCACAACAUUCUAGACAGCUUCUGCGUGCUGGGACACAGAAACGCCAUCGCUCGCCACACGCUGGUCUUGUGUCCCGGCAUCUUGCGAGGCUCACAUUCGCUGUCAUCCGCUCCCUGAUGUUAUUCUGGAUUUUCCCUGUGCGGGAUCGCGCUGCCCAUGACUGUGACAGUCUGUUUUCCCUUUUACUUCUCUUUCUUGCCUUAUCCUUGGCUGGGAUGGACGGUGCGUCCGAACAGAAACGCUGAGAAAGACCCCCGUCCCGUUUCUGACCUCCCCCUUCUUCCUCCCUGAUUGCCCCGCGCGCGCCCCAACCUCCUGGACCCACGGGCUCGUGGCAGCGAUGCGGACGGGACAGCCGGGAUGCUCUCAUGAACGUGAAAGAUCGGGCACUCUCUGAAACGAGGCCGCUCUGCGGAGUCCAUGCUGCUGAAAUGCUGUGGGCAGCCCGUAGUGUCCACUUCCCAGGAUUAGCGCGCUCCCGGGGACACGGCGAGGAAACACCAGACACAGAGGCAGCCUGGCCCCCGGGUCCCGAAGAAGAAGGUGGCAGCGAGGUGCGGAGGGCAGGGCUGGGCGGAACCGCACCUGAGCCACCUCGCCCUGCGAGCUGGAGACGGCCUUCAGUGCCACCGGCCUGGCUCCAAGCCCGUGCCGCCCGCGCCCAAGGCGAGACCCCGGGCUGCUCUGUCUACGCUUCUCUCAGGCCACCCUGAAGACGUGCUGAGAACGAAUCCUGUGUCUCAGGGCCUACCCUGGGCCUGGGGAGCAGUCAGCAGAUUUUCCAGCAGGAACAAUGACGGUAUUCCUUCCCUCUCGCCCGUCCCCCUCCCCGUCAUCUAAUCCGGGGUGAGCUCAAAUCUAAGAGGGAACAUGCCAGAAUGUAUGCACAGGAAGGGGCUCCUCCCUACAAAGCGAAUGAGCUCCAGUCUGAGUCUUGGCCGGAUCCUGGCUUGCACUCUGCCGCCGGGUCUGCCGUGGCCCCACACGCGCUGUGACGAGCAGGAGGUUCUGGGGGCGAGCGGGCACUGGCUCCUGGGUGCCCGCUGGCCAUUCCGCCAGGCAGCCUGGAGUCGGAGCGGCCGUGACACGCUGCGUUCCGAACGAGGGCCGCAGCCCAAGAGGGAGGCAUCUGGGUCCUUCCUGCCCUUCCAAAUCUGGAAGCGCGUGCGGCUCGAGGAGAAACUGGGGCCGUGGGGGUAAAGGCGGCUUAUCCCCAGGUUGGGGGGCACCGAGUCGUACGAGUGCCCAGGGUCUCACGUUGAACAGGAGAAGCCCUGGGUUCACGUAGAAACCUACUUAACGCAAAAAGUCGCAUCCCUGCCGCAGGGACACGUGUGCUCCUGAGCGUGUCGGUACGAAGCCCGACGCAAGAAAAAAGCUUUCAAGACACAGGCGAGGCUUCGUAGGGAGGGCCGAAGCUUGGGAGGCUCUCCUGCCUGGUGACGGACGGCUGGUCUCUGGCCUGCGUGAGGAUGGAAGGCCAGGCCGCGAGCAGCACGGCUUCUGGCCUACGGCACGCAGCAGGUGCCUGCACGGAAGCGCCACCGGAGGGGCUCGCCCCCCUGAACCCCGCCCCCAUCUUCCGGGGGGCGCGGUAGGAACACGUGAGCGUCAGUGUCGGGUCACUGGGGCCUGGGCUCAGUGCCAACGUCAGCGGGAGGCCAGCAAGUCCCCGCCCCUAACCUGAGAGAGUUGCACGAUUAGUGACCUGGAAGUCGGACCCCCCCCCGUUCAAUGAAAUUCUAAAAGGGGGCUCGCUAUGCUGAAAUGUCCCCGCUCAGAGACACGGAAGUGAUUCAUCAGGUGGGCAAAAUACUCAAAUCCCCCCAGGCCCCCCAUGACCCGAACCCACUCCCCAAAAGGACUUGGCCUCCCCUCCGCCUUCCUGCCCUCUGGGCACCGCCCGCCCUGGCACAGCCCGCCCCCGGUGGUGCCCGAGCCCGGGGAGGCCAGCACCCCCUGGACGGCCCACCCCUCGGAUGGCGAGCCAGCGGGCACUCCCUGGCGAGUUCCGCCUCCAGCAGCAGGUGCCGCAGUGUUUCUUUUCCUCCCCGCGCAAGUUACCGAAAACGACCCCAGUUCUGCAAUAAAGCUUGUAUCCGCCCGUUAA